This 70-nucleotide transfer RNA is filed under the name Ictidomys tridecemlineatus (thirteen-lined ground squirrel). Its description in RNAcentral is "Spermophilus tridecemlineatus (thirteen-lined ground squirrel) tRNA". It matches the Rfam family "tRNA". Rfam says of the family: Transfer RNA (tRNA) molecules are approximately 80 nucleotides in length. Their secondary structure includes four short double-helical elements and three loops (D, anti-codon, and T loops). The record is from Rfam by way of RNAcentral. Lineage: Eukaryota; Metazoa; Chordata; Mammalia; Rodentia; Sciuridae.
GGGGAUGUGGCUCAAGUGGUAGAGUGCUCACCUAGCAUGUGUGAGGAACUGGGUUCGAUUCUCAGCACCA